GGGAGAAGAGACAGUCGGUCUCGCUCCCCAGCAGCAGGACAAUGUAUUGGGAGUGGAGACCAUCGGUUCCCCUUCCCAGGGGCAGUAUAUGGUUCAGGGAGAAGAGCCUAUUACCACCUCUCCCCAGUGGCAGCUUAUUCACCAAAGGGAAGGCCCUAGUCUCCCAGAUGACACAGACGGGGCCAUGACCUCUGUACCUGAACCACAGGGAUGCG
Pelobates cultripes (western spadefoot toad) is the source of this 215-nucleotide non-coding RNA. NCBI's taxonomy places the organism in Eukaryota, Metazoa, Chordata, Amphibia, Anura, Pelobatidae. The record is from the annotation of a GenBank genome assembly.